This 424-nucleotide ribosomal RNA is filed under the name uncultured bacterium. RNAcentral describes it as "partial 16S ribosomal RNA". It matches the Rfam family "Bacterial small subunit ribosomal RNA", at positions 360 to 776 of the family's 1533-position model. The record is from RNAcentral.
AAUUCUGGACAUUGGGCGCAAUCCUGAUCCAGCCACGCCGCGUGAGUUAAGAUUGCCNNNGGAUUNUCAAUCACUUUCGGACGNAAUNAAAUCGCGUAGGCUAAUACCCUCCGCGGAUCUAGAUACCGUCAUACGUAGCACCGGAUAACUACAUGCCAUGAGCCGCGGUAAGACGUAGGGUGAGAGCGUUAGUCGGAAUUACUGGGAGUAAGGCGUGCGCAGGCGGUUAAUUAAGACAGGCGUGAAAUCCCCGGGCUUAACCUGGGAACUGCGCUUGUGACUGGUCAGCUAGAGUACGGCAGAGGGGGGUGGAAUUCCACGUGUAGCAGUGAAAUGCGUAGAGAUGUGAAGGAACACCGAUGGCGAAGGCAGCCCCCUGGGCCGAUACUGACGCUCAUGCACGAAAGCGUGGGUAGCAAACAGG